CCUACGGGAGGCAGCAGUGGGGAAUUUUGGACAAUGGGCGCAAGCCUGAUCCAGCAAUGCCGCGUGCAGGAUGAAGGCCUUCGGGUUGUAAACUGCUUUUGUACGGAACGAAAAAGUCUGCCCUAAUACGGUGGGCCCAUGACGGUACCGUAAGAAUAAGCACCGGCUAACUACGUGCCAGCAGCCGCGGUAAUACGUAGGGUGCGAGCGUUAAUCGGAAUUACUGGGCGUAAAGCGUGCGCAGGCGGUUAUAUAAGACAGAUGUGAAAUCCCCGGGCUCAACCUGGGACCUGCAUUUGUGACUGUAUAGCUAGAGUACGGUAGAGGGGGAUGGAAUUCCGCGUGUAGCAGUGAAAUGCGUAGAUAUGCGGAGGAACACCGAUGGCGAAGGCAAUCCCCUGGACCUGUACUGACGCUCAUGCACGAAAGCGUGGGGAGCAAACAGGAUUAGAUACCCUGGUAGUCCACGCCCUAAACGAUGUCAACUGGUUGUUGGGUCUUCACUGACUCAGUAACGAAGCUAACGCGUGAAGUUGACCGCCUGGGGAGUACGGCCGCAAGGUUGAAACUCAAAGGAUUGACGGCUGAGACGNGCGACGACGACGACGAGGGAGGAGG
Molecule: ribosomal RNA, 618 nt
Filed under: uncultured bacterium
Lineage: Bacteria
Description: bacterial SSU rRNA
Rfam family: Bacterial small subunit ribosomal RNA
Source: RNAcentral